Molecule: long non-coding RNA, 505 nt
Filed under: Nicotiana benthamiana
Lineage: Eukaryota; Viridiplantae; Streptophyta; Magnoliopsida; Solanales; Solanaceae
Description: long non-coding RNA (NBEN_LNC008405)
Source: RNAcentral
ACAAAAAGGGAGACAGAAAAAACGAGAUCGCACACAAAAAUGACCCUCUCACGUUUCUUUUUCUUCAUAAUCAAUCUCCAUUAGAGAAAAAGCAGCAGCGACACACGACCUCUUCCUCUCCCCUAACCGGUUCUUCUUCUCCAUGAACACGAGAGAGUCCUGAGACGAAAAUCUCCGAACACCAGCAACAACCAUAGCCGUCCUGUUCGAGCUCAGUCGAGACAAAUCCAGAUCUGGCAAAUUUCGAAUUCGUCAUAAGUUCCGAUCGAGGUUCACUGUUUCUCUUUGGUGAUUCUAUUUGAAAUCCUCUGUUACCGAUCCAUUCGAAUUGGCUUUAUUCACUUGUUGUAAUUGCUAAAGCUCUAUUAAUUGAAAGCUCACCUCAAGAGCUGUUAAUUUUUGGAUUUUACAAGUGAUAUUGGAAUUCGCUCUAUGAUUGUUGACGAAGUGUGAGGCUGUCAUACAAUUGCCCUUGAUUUUCAUGAAUAGGUCCUGUUUAUUCUGU